GGGCCGCGAACGUCGCGGAGGCAACAGGCGCCGGACGAGCAGGCGAGCGCGAUGAGCCCGGCGAGGGGCGCCACGACGAGCGAGCCGAACCCAACUCGGAACGACCAGCCACGCCCCAGGCACGGCGGCGGCGACCGCCACCCCUCCGCAAGGUAGCACCUUAGGCCCCGGACGGGCGAGCCGAGCUCGCCGGUCGCUGCUGCGACGCCCGCUGCGAGCCAGAGGGCCGGGCUCUCCCGAGGGAGGCCGGACUAGUAGCCGCAUGCGACGGCUCGCCAAGCAUAGGGGCACGGGAGGGGGAUGGGUCACACCGCGGGCGCCACCGGGGGAGGUCGGUUCCUCGUCAGCGGGGUCGACCCAGCGGAGGUGCGAACCAGCGGCGCCGGACGGGGAGGAGGACGCAGAUGAGGCCAGGGUCGGAGGCGCGAGGACGGCGGCCGGAGGCGCGAGGACGGCGGCCGGGGGCGCCGGCAGCUCGCCCGACGAGGAAAGGGCGUCGGCGGGGAGGGCCGGGGGCGGCGGAGGCGAGCGAGUCGGGUCGCCCACGGUCUCGCCAGAGCCCUCCAUCGUUCGCCGAUGAGACUUAGCUACUUUAACAUAUUGACUACAUAAAAAUAGAUGAACAUACACACUAAAAUGUGUCCAAAGACAUAUGAAUCAAGAAAAAGCUAAAAGGGAAUGGAGGGGUAGCACCAGAGAGUUCCGCUGCAGGGAUCUGAUAAGAGCACAAACUUAUCUACAUACCAUAGCCUGGUCUUUGGUGCACAUAAUGUUCUUCUUCAUGGAGUAAGUAGAAAAUACCACCCAAUAGCAUCCCCUUAGGCUGUGUUCGGUUGAGAGGGAUUUGGCAGGGAUGAUUGAAGUGGAUUUAAUCCUCUACAAGUCAAAACCUCCCUAAAUUCUCUUCAAUCUUUUUGUGGAGGGGUGUAACCGAACAAGGCCUUAGGUAGAAUCGAAAAGCAGCAGUAGAAGGAAGGGGACGAAAAGGAUAGGCCAUGCAGCCCUUGGGAACUGAAAGGGUUGGACUGGAGGUGGCAAGGCAGCGUCGGCAAUCAAACUUACGUACGCCAGCAGCGCCCGCUCUGCUCGCAUCCAUCCCGAUCGAUCCCCAUGUCCUUUUCUCGUGGUGGUGCUCCUCCUGCGUAGCUAGCUGUGCGAGCACGUACGUGUCACCCCCCACCUCCUCCCUCCCUCCCUCCCUCCCUCCUUAUUUAGCACGACACCUCCCUCUUCCUCCUCUGCAUCCACGGCAACAGCUUCCUCUUCCUCCUGAGACCCACCCUUCGCUAGCUCCUAGCUGCAUCUGCUGCUAAGUUCCAGCACCGCGCUGUCUGCUAGCUCGUCGCGUUGAAGGUCGUCCAAGAGCAUUUUGAAGGUUGACAGUAACCUUCGGUUGUUGGAAGAUGUAUCGGGCCAAGAGAGCUGCAUUGUCACCAAAGGUGAAGCGCCGUGUCGGCAAGUAUGAGCUCGGCCGCACAAUCGGGGAAGGGACCUUUGCAAAGGUCAGGUUUGCAAAGAACACUGAAACUAUGGAGCCUGUUGCUAUCAAAAUCCUCGAUAAGGAGAAGGUUCAGAAGCUCAGAUUGGUUGAACAGAUUAGGCGCGAAAUUUGUACUAUGAAGUUAAUAAAGCAUCCUAAUGUUGUUCGACUGCACGAGGUGAUGGGAAGUAAAGCCAGAAUUUUUAUUGUUCUGGAAUACAUUACUGGAGGGGAACUCUUUGAUACCAUUUAUACCAAUGGAAGGUUGAAAGAAGAGGAAGCACGCAAAUACUUUCAACAGCUGAUAAACGCUGUUGACUAUUGCCACAGUAGGGGUGUGUAUCACAGAGAUUUGAAGUUAGAAAAUUUGUUGCUUGAUGCUGCUGGAAAUCUCAAAGUGUCCGACUUUGGUUUAAGUGCUUUAACUGAGCAAGUGAAGGCUGAUGGGUUGCUGCACACAACAUGCGGAACUCCGAACUAUGUUGCUCCUGAGGUGAUUGAGGAUAGAGGUUAUGAUGGUGCAGCUGCAGAUAUCUGGUCUUGCGGGGUAAUCCUUUUUAUUCUGCUUGCCGGGUUUUUACCUUUCGAGGAUGAAAACAUCAUCGCCCUUUAUAAGAAGAUCUCAGAAGCUCAAUUCACAUGUCCCUCUUGGUUUUCUACUGGAGCUAAGAAGCUGAUCACCAGAAUUCUGGACCCAAAUCCUGCAACUCGUAUCACCAUUCCUCAGAUACUGGAGGAUCCUUGGUUCAAAAAAGGAUUCAAGCCACCUGUUUUUGACGAUAAGUAUGAAACUAGCUUCGAUGAUGUCUAUGCUGCAUUUGGAGACUCAGAGGACCAGCAUGUGAAAGAGGAGACUGAACAUAAGCCAACCUCAAUGAAUGCAUUUGAACUGAUUUCACUGAAUCAGGGACUGAAUCUGGACAAUUUGUUCGAGGCAAAGGAGGAGCAUAAAAGAGAGACACGAUUCACCUCGCAAUGCCCUCCAAAAGAAAUCAUCAGCAAGAUUGCAGAAGCUGCAAGGCCACUUGGUUUUGACAUUCAGAAGAAAAACUACAAGAUGCGGAUGGAGAACCCGAAAGCAGGUAGAAAAGGCAAUCUCAAUGUUGCAACCGAGGUUUUUCAAGUAGCUCCAUCCCUACAUGUGGUUGAGCUGAAAAAGGCGAAGGGGGAUACUCUGGAAUUUCAAAUGUUCUACAGAUCUCUCUCAACCCAGCUCAAGGACGUAGUUUGGAAGUGCGGCGGCGAGGUAGAAGAUAACAGCACCGUGGCAUGAAGCACAAUUUUCCAUGUACAUAGUCCCUAGUUCAUAUGUGGGAUGGAUGGUGGGUGUUGGCUGCGGAUUGGGUUGUGCAGACCGAGUUCUUUCGUUCGUUUGUUGAUGAUGAUGACGAUGAAUAGGCUCCGAUGAAACAGCGGGCGCACAGCCCGCUGUGGAAGAGCCUAUCUAUGGCUUCGUUAGUUUGCUUGCUGAUAUAUUCAUGGUCCAGAGGGAGAUUAAAGCGAGAGGCGAAAGGCCGUAUUGUUCUAAGAUUGUAUUGAUAGGAGGUUAUACUGAACAGCUCAAUGUGUUGAACUUUGUUCUGUACUCUACUUAGCAUUGUACUGUAGUACCUAUAGCCGGGGAGAUAUCAUAUCUCUUAGUCUGUAGUAUCAGAUUCUAAAUAAAUAAAUAAACUGCUGAUCCUUGUCGGCGAUGCUGCGUGUGUGAAGGAAGGAG
This 3197-nucleotide ribosomal RNA is filed under the name Triticum aestivum (bread wheat). RNAcentral's name for it is "partial small subunit ribosomal RNA". Lineage: Eukaryota; Viridiplantae; Streptophyta; Magnoliopsida; Poales; Poaceae. The record is from RNAcentral.